This is a long non-coding RNA of Oncorhynchus kisutch (coho salmon), 475 nucleotides long. RefSeq lists it as uncharacterized. The transcript has 2 exons. The record is from RefSeq and is a predicted model, not a curated record. Lineage: Eukaryota; Metazoa; Chordata; Actinopteri; Salmoniformes; Salmonidae.
CACCCCUCAUCCUUCACCAGCAGCACCUCUGAACCCUCAUCCUUCACCAGCAGCACCUCUGGACCCUCAUCCUGGAAGAGAAAGGUGAUACAGAUUAAACAGACAUACUCCCUCAGUGUGUACAGGCGAACUACAUUUCUCCAGUGAGGAUCUUCAGCUGGUGCUGGCGGGAGAACUUCUUCUCACAUUCUUCUGUACAAUUUCUCCCUUGUGUGGUUCCUCUAGUGCCUCUUCAGGCUGCCAGCCUCUGUAAAGCACAUGUGACACUGGGUACAGCUGAAGGGUUUCACCCCUGUGUGGACACUCUGGUGAAUCUCCACCUUCUGGGAGCAGCGGAAGCCUUUGUUACAGAACAUGCAGAGGAACCGUUUCUCUUUACUGUUGCCUGAUGUGGCUCCCCCUCCCUGAACCUGAGCUCUAGCCCUGUCAUUUGAGUUCAAUACCUGAUUAAAAAUAAGAAACGAUGUGGACACUG